GCCUUCGUGGUGUAAUGGUCAGCACACUGAGCCGGUAAUUCAGAGGUCCGUGGGUUCGAUCCCCGGCGAAGGCA
RNAcentral lists this transfer RNA (74 nucleotides) under Stegodyphus mimosarum. It matches the Rfam family "tRNA". Rfam says of the family: Transfer RNA (tRNA) molecules are approximately 80 nucleotides in length. Lineage: Eukaryota; Metazoa; Arthropoda; Arachnida; Araneae; Eresidae. The record is from Rfam by way of RNAcentral.